RNAcentral lists this ribosomal RNA (403 nucleotides) under Pantoea agglomerans. RNAcentral describes it as "bacterial SSU rRNA". It matches the Rfam family "Bacterial small subunit ribosomal RNA", at positions 972 to 1370 of the family's 1533-position model. The record is from RNAcentral. Lineage: Bacteria; Pseudomonadati; Pseudomonadota; Gammaproteobacteria; Enterobacterales; Erwiniaceae.
CUCCUGGCCUUGACAUCCAGAGAACUUAGCAGAGAUGCUUUGGUGCCUUCGGGAACUCUGAGACAGGUGCUGCAUGGCUGUCGUCAGCUCGUGUUGUGAAAUGUUGGGUUAAGUCCCGCAACGAGCGCAACCCUUAUCCUUUGUUGCCAGCGGCUCGGCCGGGAACUCAAAGGAGACUGCCGGUGAUAAACCGGAGGAAGGUGGGGAUGACGUCAAGUCAUCAUGGCCCUUACGGCCAGGGCUACACACGUGCUACAAUGGCGCAUACAAAGAGAAGCGACCUCGCGAGAGCAAGCGGACCUCAUAAAGUGCGUCGUAGUCCGGAUUGGAGUCUGCAACUUCGACUCCAUGAAGUCGGAAUCGCUAGUAAUCGUAGAUCAGAAUGAUACGGGAAUAUGACGUC